CAGGCAUUGCAUACAGCUUA
This 20-nucleotide unclassified non-coding RNA is filed under the name Mus musculus (house mouse). RNAcentral describes it as "oocyte_clustered_small_RNA10745". Lineage: Eukaryota; Metazoa; Chordata; Mammalia; Rodentia; Muridae. The record is from RNAcentral.